AAGUCGUAACAAGGUUUCCGUAGGUGAACCUGCGGAAGGAUCAUUGCAAAUCAAAGACUGGAAAUGAAGUAUGGUAAAGGGUUUGAGAGCAAUCUUGAGCAAUUUGUCAUUAUUUCAUUUUCAUAUACGCACAGCGUGCCUGGAUUAGAGGGUGCAAAUCCUCUUGUCUGUGCCGCUGAUGUUUACGCUUGUAUGUUUGACAAAUCUAUUACAUUUAAAUAUUCAAAACUUUUAACAACGGAUCUCUUGGCUCUU
RNAcentral lists this unclassified non-coding RNA (255 nucleotides) under fungal sp. RNAcentral describes it as "partial internal transcribed spacer region". The stretch from base 1 to 46 matches the Rfam family "Eukaryotic small subunit ribosomal RNA", at positions 1786 to 1831 of the family's 1831-position model. Lineage: Eukaryota; Fungi. The record is from RNAcentral.